This 78-nucleotide transfer RNA is filed under the name Segetibacter sp. Its description in RNAcentral is "tRNA-Asp". It matches the Rfam family "tRNA". From Rfam's summary of the family: Transfer RNA (tRNA) molecules are approximately 80 nucleotides in length. Their secondary structure includes four short double-helical elements and three loops (D, anti-codon, and T loops). The record is from RNAcentral. RNAcentral also lists the same sequence under 7 other names. Lineage: Bacteria; Pseudomonadati; Bacteroidota; Chitinophagia; Chitinophagales; Chitinophagaceae.
GGGCUCGUAGUGAAGUUGGCCUAUCACGUCUCCCUGUCACGGAGAAGAUCGCCGGUUCGAAUCCGGUCGGGCCCGCCA